CNCCUUUCAGCACCGGAUCUCUUGUUUCUCUUCCCCAAAAAGAACACAACAA
RNAcentral lists this ribosomal RNA (52 nucleotides) under Psilocybe cyanescens. RNAcentral's name for it is "partial 5.8S ribosomal RNA". Lineage: Eukaryota; Fungi; Basidiomycota; Agaricomycetes; Agaricales; Agrocybaceae. The record is from RNAcentral.